UCCAGACUCCUACGGGAGGCAGCAGUGAGGAAUAUUGGUCAAUGGCCGAGAGGCUGAACCAGCCAAGUCGCGUGAGGGAAGACGGCCCUACGGGUUGUAAACCUCUUUUGUCGGGGAGCAAAGCGAGUCACGUGUGACUCAUUGAGAGUACCCGAAGAAAAAGCAUCGGCUAACUCCGUGCCAGCAGCCGCGGUAAUACGGAGGAUGCGAGCGUUAUCCGGAUUUAUUGGGUUUAAAGGGAGCGUAGAUGGGUUGUUAAGUCAGUUGUGAAAGUUUGCGGCUCAACCGUAAAAUUGCAAUUGAUACUGGCAGCCUUGAGUACAGUUGAGGUAGGCGGAAUUCGUGGUGUAGCGGUGAAAUGCUUAGAUAUCACGAAGAACUCCGAUUGCGAAGGCAGCCUACUAAACUGCCACUGACAUUGAUGCUCGAAAGUGUGGGUAUCAAACAGGAUUAGAUACCCUAGUA
Molecule: ribosomal RNA, 465 nt
Filed under: uncultured bacterium
Lineage: Bacteria
Description: bacterial SSU rRNA
Rfam family: Bacterial small subunit ribosomal RNA
Source: RNAcentral